GGGCAUUACGACAGGGGCAUAAAAAAAGACCAAAACACAAAAGCUUCACUAUAACCACUGAACCAUAUAAAUGAAGUAAAAGUCAUCUGAUUCCCGUCUGUUGUACACCUUACAAUCAAUCCAUUCACCAAAUAUAGUAGAUAUAUUGCUUAUAGUUUGAGAUAUUGACUAAACCAUGCACGAAUACCUUGUUCACUGACCCAUUAAAUGAG
RNAcentral lists this long non-coding RNA (212 nucleotides) under Mytilus galloprovincialis (Mediterranean mussel). The record is from RNAcentral. Lineage: Eukaryota; Metazoa; Mollusca; Bivalvia; Mytilida; Mytilidae.